This 772-nucleotide ribosomal RNA is filed under the name uncultured bacterium. Its description in RNAcentral is "bacterial SSU rRNA". It matches the Rfam family "Bacterial small subunit ribosomal RNA", at positions 67 to 835 of the family's 1533-position model. The record is from RNAcentral.
AGCGCGGAGGUAGCAAUACCUUUGGCGGCGACCGGCGCACUGGUGAGUAACACGUAUGCGACCUGCCCCGGACAGGGGGAUAAACCCGGGAAACUGGGCCUAAUACCCCAUAUGCCUGGAGGAUGCAUGUCCUCUAGGUGAAAGAUCCGUCGGUCCGGGAUGGGCAUGCGGCGCAUUAGCUUGUUGGCGGGGCAACGGCCCACCAAGGCGACGAUGCGUAGGGGUUCUGAGAGGAAGGUCCCCCACACUGGUACUGAGACACGGACCAGACUCCUACGGGAGGCAGCAGUGAGGAAUAUUGGUCAAUGGACGAUAGUCUGAACCAGCCAAGUCGCGUGCGGGAUGAAGGCCCUCCGGGUCGUAAACCGCUUUAGCCGGGGAGUAACGUGGGGGACGUGUCCCUCAGUGAGAGUACCCGGAGAAUAAGCAUCGGCUAACUCCGUGCCAGCAGCCGCGGUAAUACGGAGGAUGCGAGCGUUAUCCGGAUUUAUUGGGUUUAAAGGGUGCGCAGGCGGCAUGUCAAGUCAGCGGUCAAAAUGCGGCGCUCAACGCCGUACCGCCGUUGAAACUGGCGCGCUUGAGUUCGUGGGAGGAUCGCGGAAUGCGCGGUGUAGCGGUGAAAUGCAUAGAUAUCGCGCAGAACCCCGAUUGCGAAGGCAGCGGUCCAUCACGCGACUGACGCUCAUGCACGAAAGCGUGGGUAUCGAACAGGAUUAGAUACCCUGGUAGUCCACGCGGUAAACGAUGAUAACUAGUUAUUCGGGGCGAUUGA